RNAcentral lists this microRNA (24 nucleotides) under Bombyx mori (domestic silkworm). RNAcentral's name for it is "bmo-miR-3354". Lineage: Eukaryota; Metazoa; Arthropoda; Insecta; Lepidoptera; Bombycidae. The record is from miRBase by way of RNAcentral.
UCACAUCAGGCACAGUUACAGGGG